RNAcentral lists this ribosomal RNA (253 nucleotides) under uncultured bacterium. RNAcentral describes it as "partial 16S ribosomal RNA". It matches the Rfam family "Bacterial small subunit ribosomal RNA", at positions 524 to 776 of the family's 1533-position model. The record is from RNAcentral.
UACGUAGGGUGCGAGCGUUGCCCGGAUUUACUGGGCGUAAAGCGCACGUAGGCGGAUCGAUCAGUCAGGGGUGAAAUCCCAGAGCUCAACUCUGGAACUGCCUUUGAUACUGUCGAUCUGGAGUAUGGAAGAGGUGAGUGGAAUUCCGAGUGUAGAGGUGAAAUUCGUAGAUAUUCGGAGGAACACCAGUGGCGAAGGCGGCUCACUGGUCCAUUACUGACGCUGAGGUGCGAAAGCGUGGGGAGCAAACAGG